UAAAAGUCCCCGACCUCCAAUUUUUUUAUUUUUUUUUUUUAAACCGUCCGAGUUUAGUGCAAAAACUCUCUAUAAAAAAGACCGUUUUACUUGAAAAAAUGGUGAUUUUAUUCUUCUGGGAGCUAUGUAAUACGUUUACUCCUUCCUCGCAGCUAAAGUGUUCGCGCGUGACCGCCAAACGGUAAUCAUUUCUGUUUUAUUAAAAACAUGAACGGUAUUAAAAAACAUGAACGGAUUUUGAAAGAAUUAAAGUGAGUUUUGACUGUGGUAAUAUACUGGAUUUCCUGCAUUUAGC
Paramuricea clavata is the source of this 295-nucleotide non-coding RNA. The record is from the annotation of a GenBank genome assembly. Lineage: Eukaryota; Metazoa; Cnidaria; Anthozoa; Malacalcyonacea; Plexauridae.